This 253-nucleotide ribosomal RNA is filed under the name uncultured bacterium. RNAcentral's name for it is "partial 16S ribosomal RNA". It matches the Rfam family "Bacterial small subunit ribosomal RNA", at positions 524 to 776 of the family's 1533-position model. The record is from RNAcentral.
GACGAACCGUGCGAACGUUGUUCGGAAUCACUGGGCUUAAAGGGCGCGUAGGCGGGCCACCAAGUCCGCGGUGAAAUCCUCCGGCUUAACCGGAGAAGUGCCGCGGAUACUGGGGGCCUCGAGGGAGGUAGGGGCGUGUGGAACACUGGGUGGAGCGGUGAAAUGCGUUGAUAUCCAGUGGAACUCCGGUGGCGAAGGCGGCACGCUGGACCUCAUCUGACGCUGAGGCGCGAAAGCCAGGGGAGCGAACGGG